This 500-nucleotide ribosomal RNA is filed under the name Bacillus subtilis. RNAcentral describes it as "bacterial SSU rRNA". It matches the Rfam family "Bacterial small subunit ribosomal RNA", at positions 36 to 517 of the family's 1533-position model. Lineage: Bacteria; Bacillati; Bacillota; Bacilli; Caryophanales; Bacillaceae. The record is from RNAcentral.
CCCCUUGCGCAUGCCUAUACAUGCAGUCGAGCGGACAGAUGGGAGCUUGCUCCCUGAUGUUAGCGGCGGACGGGUGAGUAACACGUGGGUAACCUGCCUGUAAGACUGGGAUAACUCCGGGAAACCGGGGCUAAUACCGGAUGGUUGUCUGAACCGCAUGGUUCAGACAUAAAAGGUGGCUUCGGCUACCACUUACAGAUGGACCCGCGGCGCAUUAGCUAGUUGGUGAGGUAACGGCUCACCAAGGCGACGAUGCGUAGCCGACCUGAGAGGGUGAUCGGCCACACUGGGACUGAGACACGGCCCAGACUCCUACGGGAGGCAGCAGUAGGGAAUCUUCCGCAAUGGACGAAAGUCUGACGGAGCAACGCCGCGUGAGUGAUGAAGGGUUUUCGGAUCGUAAAGCUCUGUUGUUAGGGAAGAACAAGUGCCGUUCAAAUAGGGCGGCACCUUGACGGUACCUAACCAGAAAGCCACGGCUAACUACGUGCCAGAGCUAU